AUGGAGACAACAAUGACAACAGAAUUACCACAGAGAACUAGAAAAUGAAACUCAGCUGAAAAACGGCCACCUAAGAUGGAAGAAGCCAUGAGAUGAGUAAGCGUUGCCUACUCACAGGGUUGCAAACUGUCCUUCACUUACGAUUAUCCCCCAACGCCCCCUCCUAAAUCUGAUCAAUCGCAUGGAACUUGAUGGUUACAAAAGACAGAGCUAACAACUAGCUACCUUGCAGGAACGGGAACGUCAUUCUGAGGGUAGUCCACAUGCAAGUGUUCUAAGGUUGACAUCACUGCUUCAUCAUUCACCUCAUUUUCCCAGAACAGAAGCACCAAGAAAAUUAUCACCAUUAUUAUCAUCAGAGAUUAAGAAGCAGCAAUGCCCCUCUUGUGGCAAGAGUUGGCAGCGUGCGGUUGGUAUGUCAACGCAUCCAAGGUCCAAGGGCCUGGAUUGUCUGCCAAAUGCUUGGGAGUUGUUUGAUCAGGUUGACAUGCUCCAACAGCAUUGUGGACUGGGCCCACACCUACGCUGAGGUGACCAAUGUCUCCAACUGUUGGAUCUGCUCCACCUUCCAGCAGCAGCUGCGGAGAGUUUGCCCUGGAACGCGUAUCCUGCUUCUGUUAAGAACUGGACAUGGCUAGAAGCUUGGGGUCCCACGGACAAUGGGUGGGAUGCCACAGGGCGGGCUUUGGAUAGGAGGCAUCACAAAACCCAUGGCAAACCUGGCCCUUGGCUGACUCGUAGUGUCCAUGAUGGAUGGAGCUGGCUAAUGGGAGAACACGUGGUGCCCCCAUUGCAGGUAUCACAAUGUAUAGAGCAGCACUGGGGUAAAGUCACUGUGGGAUGGUUGCCUACUGAGGUUUGUGCAAACAUAACAUGUGUCACCACACCAAGGGUGCAGUGGAACAAGCGGCCUUACCAAGGCCAGGCCCCCAUGGACUUUGUGCCCCCUGGGAGUUUAUGGGUCUGUGGGGACACAGGAUGGCCAUAUCUCCCAGCCAACUGGACUGGACAUUGUACCUGGGGUUGGCCCUAUGUGCCUGCCAUUGGGCUUCCCACAUUGCCUAGUCGCCGCAUAACUGGGAGCCACUGUGUUCCUGCUUUUUCCCAGUGCAGCAGGCCCUCUAGUGGUUCUAUCCCUUAGCAAUGACUAUCCCUGGAGCAGGCGUCAUUACUAUAGAAAAGCAAGUUGCAGCCUUUGCAGACCACACAGCUCGGUCCCAAGUUGCCCUCCUUUUGUUAACUGAUGAAGUUGAUCAGAUCAGGAAGGUGGUGCUGCAAAACCAGAUGGCCUUAGACAUAGUCGCAGCUGCCCAAGGUGGCACCUGUGCCCUUGUAGGGACACAAUGUUGUACAUUUAUCCCUGACAACCACUGGAAUAUAAUGGCAGCUUCACAAGGGGUGUCAUAGGAGAUUAAGGUGAUUGAGCACCUUACUGAUGACCCCACGCAGAGAUGGUGGGCGUCUUUGGGAUCUGGCCUACAAUGGGCUCUCAUAAUCAUAGGUAGCAUAGCAGGAAUAUUAGUGGUAGGUUGUUGCUGUCUGUGUUGUUGCUGUGGCCUAUGGGUCCAGGGUGCUGCCACAUGUGCACGGGUCCCCACCAAGAGGAUUCCCUGGCCUAGUGGGUGGAGUGUAAGGAACAUGGCUGUGUGCAGCCAAGCAGGCAUAGGCCAAGGUAAACAGCCUAGAUGACUCAGUGGGAUUGGGGCGCAAGUGCACAGUCCCAUAUCUUAUAUAAUCAUAGCCAUGUAGGCACAACAUAAAGAAGCUCCCCACCUGGCUCUCAGUCACUAUCGUUUGUGUAGUGUAUAAAUGUAACACUGACCCUGCGAAGGGGCUGCUGAAUAAAGCCAUGUCUAAUUUA
Long non-coding RNA from Pan troglodytes (chimpanzee), 1861 nucleotides. RefSeq lists it as uncharacterized. The record is from RefSeq and is a predicted model, not a curated record. The transcript has 4 exons. Lineage: Eukaryota; Metazoa; Chordata; Mammalia; Primates; Hominidae.